This is a long non-coding RNA of Uranotaenia lowii, 942 nucleotides long. RefSeq lists it as uncharacterized. NCBI's taxonomy places the organism in Eukaryota, Metazoa, Arthropoda, Insecta, Diptera, Culicidae. The record is from RefSeq and is a predicted model, not a curated record. The transcript is spliced from 3 exons.
GAAAGUGUUGAUAAACAGUGCGGAAAAGACAACAUCACUUUUACUCUGCCGGUCGCCAUCGCGUUUUUUUUCUUCCCGCGAGUUGUUCCGGUUGGUUCUGCCGUUUGCCGAUAUUGGCCCGUUGAGAAGCUGCCACGGGACUCACCAAUCAACGAACGCCAGUCGCACGCAGAACGCUGGAAGCGAACCCGGGAAAAGCCGACAGAAAAGUCGGGACAGGAUCCGCUGGACGUGAGGGAGCCGACACCUCCCGCCGUGAGAGGCCAAUUUGCCAGAGACGGAGCUAUUCGGAGAGCGGACAUCCCUCAACAAAACGUUGCGACGUGAAACCACCCACUGAAAUUCAACGGUUCGGACGCAGUCAACAAGAACCGGUAAGUGAAGCAUCUCUGAGGGAAUAACAAAUGGCUAAUGUUUUGCUUUUGCAUCAGAUUGGGACAGCCAAGUUCGGCAUCGACCAAGCCGCCCAGAAGUUGCUAUUCUCAGGCCCCAGAUUGGGUGAGUGCGGAUAUGGUGAGUGAGAAGAAGUAUGUUGCUGAUUCGAUGUGUUUAUUUAAGGGUUUUUCUGAGGAGCUGAGGCCAAGCGUCGAGAGAGCUGAACUGGACCAUCGAGACUCUUCAGCGACAGCGCCGGUUCCCGGAUUGGAAGGCGAUCGCCCUCUUCCAGUGGUGCUCAAAUCCGCUUUGGUCAUCUGAUGACGUAGGAGGUCGCUGCAAAGAGUAAGAACGAGAAAAAAGAAGUAAGUGCUAGAUCUUGUAAGAAGAAGAGGCAGAAAGAAGGACAGAAGCGAGAUUAAAAGGAGAAUAAGAAGAGAAAGAAGAGCGCGGCGGAGAAGAAGAAGAAGAAGAGCGAGGCAGAGAAGAAGAAGAAGAGCGAGGCAGAGAAGAAGAAGAAGAGCGAGGCAGAGAAGAAGAAGAAGAGCGAGGCAGAGAGGAAGAAGA